AGGGUCACCCAACAUGCAAUGGGCAUUGUUGUGAACAAGCAAGUUAAGGGCAAGAUUCUUGCCAAGAGAAUUAAUGUACGUAUUGAGCAUAUUAAGCAUCUAAGAGCCGAGAUAGCUUCCUGAAACGUGUGAAGG
Molecule: long non-coding RNA, 135 nt
Organism: Myotis davidii
Lineage: Eukaryota; Metazoa; Chordata; Mammalia; Chiroptera; Vespertilionidae
Exons: 2
Source: RefSeq, a predicted model, not a curated record